UACGAAGGGGGCUAGCGUUGUUCGGAAUUACUGGGCGUAAAGGGCGCGUAGGCGGCCAUUCAAGUUAGGUGUGAAAGCCCUGGGCUCAACCUAGGAAUUGCACUUGAUACUGUUUGGCUUGAGUCCGGAAGAGGAGAGUGGAAUUCCUGGUGUAGCGGUGAAAUGCGCAGAUAUCAGGAAGAACACCCGUGGCGAAGGCGGCUCUCUGGGACGGUACUGACGCUGAGACGCGAAAGCGUGGGGAGCGAACAGG
RNAcentral lists this ribosomal RNA (253 nucleotides) under uncultured bacterium. Its description in RNAcentral is "partial 16S ribosomal RNA". It matches the Rfam family "Bacterial small subunit ribosomal RNA", at positions 524 to 776 of the family's 1533-position model. The record is from RNAcentral.